AUUGAACGCUGGCGGCAGGCCUAACACAUGCAAGUCGAACGGUAACAGGAAGCAGCUUGCUGCUUCGCUGACGAGUGGCGGACGGGUGAGUAAUGUCUGGGAAACUGCCUGAUGGAGGGGGAUAACUACUGGAAACGGUAGCUAAUACCGCAUAACGUCGCAAGACCAAAGAGGGGGACCUUAGGGCCUCUUGCCAUCGGAUGUGCCCAGAUGGGAUUAGCUAGUAGGUGGGGUAACGGCUCACCUAGGCGACGAUCCCUAGCUGGUCUGAGAGGAUGACCAGCCACACUGGAACUGAGACACGGUCCAGACUCCUACGGGAGGCAGCAGUGGGGAAUAUUGCACAAUGGGCGCAAGCCUGAUGCAGCCAUGCCGCGUGUAUGAAGAAGGCCUUCGGGUUGUAAAGUACUUUCAGCGGGGAGGAAGGGAGUAAAGUUAAGACCUUUGCUCAUUGACGUGACCCGCAGAAGAAGCACCGGCUAACUCCGU
This 489-nucleotide ribosomal RNA is filed under the name uncultured bacterium. Its description in RNAcentral is "partial 16S ribosomal RNA". It matches the Rfam family "Bacterial small subunit ribosomal RNA", at positions 30 to 506 of the family's 1533-position model. The record is from RNAcentral.